Molecule: ribosomal RNA, 155 nt
Filed under: Hymenochaetaceae sp. Vega323
Lineage: Eukaryota; Fungi; Basidiomycota; Agaricomycetes; Hymenochaetales; Hymenochaetaceae
Description: 5.8S ribosomal RNA
Rfam family: 5.8S ribosomal RNA
About the family: 5.8S ribosomal RNA (5.8S rRNA) is a component of the large subunit of the eukaryotic ribosome.
Source: RNAcentral
ACUUUCAACAACGGAUCUCUUGGCUCUCGCAUCGAUGAAGAACGCAGCGAAAUGCGAUAAGUAAUGUGAAUUGCAGAAUUCAGUGAAUCAUCGAAUCUUUGAACGCACCUUGCGCCCUUUGGUAUUCCGAAGGGCAUGCCUGUUUGAGUGUCAUG